RNAcentral lists this ribosomal RNA (253 nucleotides) under uncultured bacterium. RNAcentral's name for it is "partial 16S ribosomal RNA". It matches the Rfam family "Bacterial small subunit ribosomal RNA", at positions 524 to 776 of the family's 1533-position model. The record is from RNAcentral.
UACAGAGGUCUCAAGCGUUAUUCGGAAUUACUGGGCUUAAAGGGUUCGCAGGCGGUCUGACAAGUCCCUUGUGAAAUAUCAGGGCUCAACCCUGAAACUGCUCGGUAGACUGUCAGACUUGAGUGCAAAAGGGGUCGCUGGAACUCUAGGUGGAGCGGUGAAAUGCGUAGAUAUCUGGAGGAACACCGGUGGCGAAGGCGGCAUCCUGGACCAACACUGACACUGAGGAGCGAAAGCCAGGGGAGCAAACGGG